RNAcentral lists this ribosomal RNA (803 nucleotides) under uncultured bacterium. RNAcentral's name for it is "bacterial SSU rRNA". It matches the Rfam family "Bacterial small subunit ribosomal RNA", at positions 8 to 811 of the family's 1533-position model. The record is from RNAcentral.
AGAGUUUGAUCCUGGCUCAGGAUGAACGCUGGCGGCGUGCUUAACACAUGCAAGUCGAGCGAAGCACCUUGACGGAUUUCUUCGGAUUGAAGCCUUGGUGACUGAGCGGCGGACGGGUGAGUAACGCGUGGGUAACCUGCCUCAUACAGGGGGAUAACAGUUGGAAACGGCUGCUAAUACCGCAUAAGCGCACAGUACCGCAUGGUACGGUGUGAAAAACUCCGGUGGUAUGAGAUGGACCCGCGUCUGAUUAGGUAGUUGGUGGGGUAACGGCCUACCAAGCCGACGAUCAGUAGCCGACCUGAGAGGGUGACCGGCCACAUUGGGACUGAGACACGGCCCAAACUCCUACGGGAGGCAGCAGUGGGGAAUAUUGCACAAUGGGGGAAACCCUGAUGCAGCGACGCCGCGUGAGCGAUGAAGUAUUUCGGUAUGUAAAGCUCUAUCAGCAGGGAAGAAAAUGACGGUACCUGACUAAGAAGCCCCGGCUAACUACGUGCCAGCAGCCGCGGUAAUACGUAGGGGGCAAGCGUUAUCCGGAUUUACUGGGUGUAAAGGGAGCGUAGACGGCAUGGCAAGCCAGAUGUGAAAGCCCGGGGCUCAACCCCGGGACUGCAUUUGGAACUGUCAGGCUAGAGUGUCGGAGAGGAAAGCGGAAUUCCUAGUGUAGCGGUGAAAUGCGUAGAUAUUAGGAGGAACACCAGUGGCGAAGGCGGCUUUCUGGACGAUGACUGACGUUGAGGCUCGAAAGCGUGGGGAGCAAACAGGAUUAGAUACCCUGGUAGUCCACGCCGUAAACGAUG